This is a long non-coding RNA of Cucumis sativus (cucumber), 422 nucleotides long. RefSeq lists it as uncharacterized. The transcript has 4 exons. The record is from RefSeq and is a predicted model, not a curated record. Lineage: Eukaryota; Viridiplantae; Streptophyta; Magnoliopsida; Cucurbitales; Cucurbitaceae.
CACCUAAAACCAGAAUAUAUUUGGUGCAAGCUCAUGUUACCAGGAACUCCGAGAUUUCUGAAUAUAAAGAAAUUGAGCAUGCACUGAAAUGAACUACCAGAUGUGACAAACGUCUCGGUGGGAUCAACUCCAAGCUGUACACGAGCAUAAAUGAAACUGUGUUUGAAGAAUCAGGUGCUGCUACAUCAUUCAAGGAAAUUCGUCGUAGAGGUCUUUCUCUUUACCAGAUUUCGUAGCUGAACUUUAAGAAGCAAUCAAACCGGUGUUAACUUCUUAUAUAAAGGUAGAUUCCCAAACUUUGAAGAAACGCUGCAGUACUGAGGUAAUUGAACGUUGUAAGGCAGAGCAUUGGGCUUACCGGAGCCAAGGUAUCUUCUUCGAUAACAAGUAAGGAUAGUCCUGAUACUACCUUUCUUUUGUUA